This 358-nucleotide ribosomal RNA is filed under the name uncultured bacterium. RNAcentral's name for it is "bacterial SSU rRNA". It matches the Rfam family "Bacterial small subunit ribosomal RNA", at positions 154 to 525 of the family's 1533-position model. The record is from RNAcentral.
GGCGAUUGUCUAAUACCGGAUGCCUUCAUCAUGUCGCAUGGCGAGAUGAAGAAAUGGAUUCCGCUUCGGGAUGGGCUCGCGGCCUAUCAGCUUGUUGGUGGGGUAAUGGCCUACCAAGGCAACGACGGGUAGCCGGCCUGAGAGGGCGACCGGCCACACUGGGACUGAGACACGGCCCAGACUCCUACGGGAGGCAGCAGUGGGGAAUAUUGGACAAUGGGCGGAAGCCUGAUCCAGCAACGCCGCGUGAGGGAUGACGGCCUUCGGGUUGUAAACCUCUUUCAGCGCCGACGAAGCGAGAGUGACGGUAGGCGCAGAAGAAGCACCGGCCAACUACGUGCCAGCAGCCGCGGUAAUG